Molecule: long non-coding RNA, 352 nt
Filed under: Mustela putorius furo (domestic ferret)
Lineage: Eukaryota; Metazoa; Chordata; Mammalia; Carnivora; Mustelidae
Description: lncRNA (ENSMPUG00000025912.1)
Source: RNAcentral
GCCAGUUUUAGAAUGCCUGCCAGUCAGCAUUAAAGGGGGAUCUGUUUCAUGGUUUUUCUAUAUGUGAAAUGUCAAAGAACUGCAGAGGAUGUGUUAUUUAUUAUUUCUAGCAUUCUUUUUUAGGAGAUGCAGCAGAAGAUGUAAUAUCUUUUAAUUGUCAAGCAUGGAAGUGGACAUUGGACCAGAAUCAACCAUUAGGUUAAUUUUACCCAGCGUGUGGGGACCAGUAAAAGAUGUCAUGGCUCCGCAAAUGACUAGUUGCAGAAAUGCAAUGCUUCUGAUCAUCUUUAACAACUUCAUUCAAGAAAGGUUAUAGGAGUAACUUCUGACAGAGCAGUUCAUGAAAAACACG